GACGAGGGGUCCUAGCGUUGUUCGGAAUCACUGGGCGUAAAGCGUUUGUAGGCGGCUCUAUAAGUCGGGUGUGAAAUCCCACGGCUCAACCGUGGAAGUGCAUUCGAAACUGCGAGAGCUUGAAUAUGGUAGAGGACAGUAGAAUUGCUGGUGUAGUGGUGAAAUACGUAGAUAUCAGCAGGAAUACCGGUGGCGAAGGCGGCAUCCUGGACCGGUAUUGACGCUGAGGCGCGAAAGCCAGGGGAGCAAACGGG
RNAcentral lists this ribosomal RNA (254 nucleotides) under uncultured bacterium. Its description in RNAcentral is "partial 16S ribosomal RNA". It matches the Rfam family "Bacterial small subunit ribosomal RNA", at positions 524 to 776 of the family's 1533-position model. The record is from RNAcentral.